Molecule: long non-coding RNA, 320 nt
Filed under: Mustela putorius furo (domestic ferret)
Lineage: Eukaryota; Metazoa; Chordata; Mammalia; Carnivora; Mustelidae
Description: lncRNA (ENSMPUG00000024815.1)
Source: RNAcentral
GUCAGUGUGGUCCUCCCGCCGGUACCCAGUUAUGGACACGCAAGCUCACAGCUGAUAACCAGAGAGGUUAAACUCUUCGUCUUCUACACGCAUGGAGAUGCGCUUUCUGUGACCAGACUCCCAAUCGGCACUGAGCAGAAAACGAAGCACGACUGGUUUUGCGACCAAGACAGAUGGUCCUACUCUCAAAGGUCCAGCUGUGCUCCUACCUCUUCCUGGAAGCCCUCCUUGGUGUGUUGAAGUCGUGGACUCCCAGAGCCCCAUUACUUCGACUGAUUAUCCUGACACCACACCAGAAGAGACCCCGUAACUCCUUAGCC